Molecule: long non-coding RNA, 979 nt
Filed under: Homo sapiens (human)
Lineage: Eukaryota; Metazoa; Chordata; Mammalia; Primates; Hominidae
Description: HSALNT0307946
Source: RNAcentral
GCCCUGGGGCUGCAGAUCGGCUUGCGGGACGGGGUCCCAGAGAGGCCGGUCCACGCGGCCCGCACGCGCGAGUGUUAGCUCUGCACACGACGGAAGGCGGAGGCGCGGGUGGCUGCCGUUUCACCUUAGAGGGAGGGAGGGAAACGUGUCCUGAUUUCUGCACCUAAGGUGCUGGAAACCUUACCCUUGCACUUCCACCGUUUCUUUCCUUGUCCUGAAAAGGUCUCUUUUACCCGCUUCACUUCGCUAUCUACACAGUUUGCACUUGCACUGACUCAGAUCUUGUCCUGUCUGGUAAGCUGUGACCCUCAGCCAGCCUGGGUAGCUGCCCUUGAACCAGAGGUUGGGGUCUGGCAGUUUCUAUAGGCGUCCUCAGGCUCGGUCUGCAAGGGGCUUGCCUCUUUCUUCUGGGGUCUUCUCGCCCCCAUGCCUUCUCAGUUGUGGUGAUUAUACCAGAAGGAACGUGGGAGAAGUAUAAUGGAGAAUGCUUAGUCACUGGACAAUGAUUUCGAAAGUUCGGCUGGCUGAGGAAACAAGAGUUUUGUGUAAUGUCUGUGACUUACUCAAUGGUUCUAGGAGGCACGAGACUGAGUUUCUUUGGGCUCUGCUCGCCUACUCUUAAGGGGCUCUACCUUCUUAGGGUGAACUCGGCACCCACCUAGAACCUCCAGUGUGUGAAAGGGCCUACCUACCUCAUUGGGCCCCAACCUCCAGCCUCUUGUGAGAGUGACGACCAGCCCCAAAAUGGCUGCACACAAACAAGACCCUAAGGGAGGGCCCGUUGCAAAAUGAAAAUGUGGGGUCCCUUACUCAAAAUUAAUGAAGAAUUUCAAGAAGGCAACAGGAGAGCAUGAAGCCAAGCGUGGAGCCCUUCUGAGUGCCUGCCCUGUGGAAGCCAGACCUAGGCAGUAUUUCAGCCCCUUUGAUUCACACACCACCUUUGCAUCGUUGGAAACACCUUUGACCAGCAAUGGAAAAU